RNAcentral lists this ribosomal RNA (253 nucleotides) under uncultured bacterium. Its description in RNAcentral is "partial 16S ribosomal RNA". It matches the Rfam family "Bacterial small subunit ribosomal RNA", at positions 524 to 776 of the family's 1533-position model. The record is from RNAcentral.
UACAGAGGUCCCAAGCGUUGUUCGGAUUUACUGGGCGUAAAGGGUGCGUAGGUGGUGAGGUAAGUCUGAUGUGAAAUCUCCGAGCUUAACUCGGAAAUGGCAUUGGAAACUACCUUGCUAGAGGGUUGGAGGGGGGACUGGAAUACUUGGUGUAGCAGUGAAAUGCGUAGAUAUCAAGUGGAACACCAGUGGCGAAGGCGAGUCUCUGGACAUUUCCUGACGCUGAGGCACGAAAGCCAGGGGAGCAAACGGG